Molecule: long non-coding RNA, 981 nt
Organism: Musca domestica (house fly)
Lineage: Eukaryota; Metazoa; Arthropoda; Insecta; Diptera; Muscidae
Exons: 3
Source: RefSeq, a predicted model, not a curated record
GCCGCCAACCAACACAGCCCAGCCACAAUAAUGCUUGUGUCGCCAUCAAUAAUUGUGUUAUGUGCGACGGGGUCUGUAGGUCAAUUACAAAAUAUGACGGUGCAAAUGUAACAAUGCUAGACAGGGGAAUUGCCAAAGACCUGAAACUCAACGGGAACAAGACACAAUUAUCCCUACAGUGGUUAAAUAAGCAUUCAAUGACGGAAGAUUCUGAAGUAGUGGAUCUAAUAAUAAGUGAUCCACUGCUAAAUGUGCCCGCUGCCUUUUUGGCGCUGGAUCAAUUUUAACCACAACAAGAUUGGGCGUUGUUGUUUAUGUCCCAACAUCCGGAAAAAAGUAAAAUGGGGCACACAUUUUUAUAUGAGAAGCGCGGUCUUUGGUUGCAACUUUCUUCGGGUCAUAAACAACAAUUCCAGCAGAUAGAACCGAAAAUUGAUUGCAACGAAUGAACUGGAUGAUGCAGUGUGGAAAAUAAAAUGGACCGGUAUAGGGAUUAUGGCAGGGCAUAUUGUGAGAAAAUAAAUGACUACAUAUCAAAGUGCUCUUGCAGAAAAGUUGAUGUGAACGAAUUACCUUUAAGUCCACAACGCGUUUUUUAUCCGCCCCAUUUGUUAAUAAUGCGAACCUAGAAGGAAUUAGGAUUGUUUGUUUGAUGCUGCAGCCGAAGUGAUGAAUGUGUUGUUGAAUAUGUGCCUUUCAAGUGGACCAGACAUAAACAAUUCCUUAAUUUCAACUAUUUUUAAAUUUCGUGGAGUUCCAAUAGCCGUCUGUGGGGAUAUAAAAGGAAUGCUCCAUCAAGUCUAAAUCGUCAAAGAAGAUCAAGAUUGCCAACGAUUUCUUUUGAGAAGGAGAUAAAAAUAAAAGAGUGGACACUUAUACUUUACAAUGUAAGAUAUUUGGCAACUUGUUCGCCAACUAUAGCCCAAUAUGUGAAAAAUAUGAAUGCCAAUAUGUUUGUGAUAGAGUCACCGCAUGCUAGUG